Long non-coding RNA from Micropterus dolomieu (smallmouth bass), 329 nucleotides. RefSeq lists it as uncharacterized. The record is from RefSeq and is a predicted model, not a curated record. NCBI's taxonomy places the organism in Eukaryota, Metazoa, Chordata, Actinopteri, Centrarchiformes, Centrarchidae. The transcript has 3 exons.
CGCACCCGUCAGCUCUCAGACCCGACGAGCAAAGCGUUCAGACCGGUGGGUGAUACCUGCAUGGCUUUUCAACGAUAGUGACAACUAAGGAACACCGAGGGGCUGACACACACCGUGGUGGUUUUAUUUCUGCUGGACAGGUCACCUGUAGUCAUUCAUAGUCCUGUACUUCUCACCAGUAUACGCUGAUCGGACCAUGCUGGCUGGCCUGGAUUACAACCACUGUGUCCACAGUCCAGCCAGGAGAAAAGCUGAUGACACAGUUCAGUACAGCAAGGUGAACAACAAAAAGUCCAGGAAGUGGAGAUUGUACUCAUUGAAGGUGGAGG